Molecule: long non-coding RNA, 322 nt
Organism: Colias croceus (clouded yellow)
Lineage: Eukaryota; Metazoa; Arthropoda; Insecta; Lepidoptera; Pieridae
Exons: 2
Source: RefSeq, a predicted model, not a curated record
UGUCAAGUUGAAUAAAAAUUUGUUGUUUAUUUGGUGAAGUUGAGAUAAAAUUGUUAUUUUAAACAAGAAAUUUACUCAAAAAAGGAGAAAUCAUGAAAAAGGUUAAACGUAGCGGUGUCCGUGAUGCCAUAUAUAAAGUUUUCAUUCGGUGUUUCUCAUAAUUUCAAGCUGAAAAACGAGAAAAAUAUUUGGAAAACGUUUACAGACGUACAGCAGAUUAUACCGGGGUUUCUGAAAGCACAGUACGCAGGAUAGUGGAGCAAGGGAGUAAAAAUGAAGGAGAAUAUCUACAAAAAAUAAAUAAAAAUAUGUAGUUUUCAAA